CCUACGGGAGGUAGCAGUGGGGAAUUUUGGACAAUGGGCGAAAGCCUGAUCCAGCAAUGCCGCGUGUGGGAAGAAGGCCUUCGGGUUGUAAACCACUUUUGUACGGAACGAAACGGUUCGCUUUAAUACAGUGGGCUAAUGACGGUACCGUAAGAAUAAGCACCGGCUAACUACGUGCCAGCAGCCGCGGUAAUACGUAGGGUGCGAGCGUUAAUCGGAAUUACUGGGCGUAAAGCGUGCGCAGGCGGUCAUAUAAGACAGUUGUGAAAUCCCCGGGGCUCAACCUGGGAAUUGCAUCUGUGACUGUAUAGCUAGAGUACGGUAGAGGGGGAUGGAAUUCCGCGUGUAGCAGUGAAAUGCGUAGAUAUGCGGAGGAACACCGAUGGCGAAGGCAAUCCCCUGGACCUGUACUGACGCUCAUGCACGAAAGCGUGGGGAGCAAACAGGAUUAGAUACCCUGGUAGUCCACGCCCUAAACGAUGUCAACUGGUUGUUGGGUGCAUUAGUACUCAGUAACGAAGCUAACGCGUGAAGUUGACCGCCUGGGGAGUACGGCCGCAAGGUUGAAACUCAAAUGAAUUGACGGCUGGAGAGNGCGAGACGACGACGAGGGAGGAGG
RNAcentral lists this ribosomal RNA (619 nucleotides) under uncultured bacterium. Its description in RNAcentral is "bacterial SSU rRNA". It matches the Rfam family "Bacterial small subunit ribosomal RNA", at positions 338 to 944 of the family's 1533-position model. The record is from RNAcentral.